UACGGAGGGUGCAAGCGUUAAUCGGAAUUACUGGGCGUAAAGGGUGCGUAGGUGGUUAUGUAAGUCAGAUGUGAAAGCCCCGGGCUCAACCUGGGAAUUGCAUUUGAGACUGAAUAGCUAGGGUGCGGUAGAGGGAAGCGGAAUUUCCGGUGUAGCGGUGAAAUGCGUAGAUAUCGGAAGGAACAUCAGUGGCGAAAGCGGCUUCCUGGACCAGCACCGACGUUCAGGCACGAAAGCGUGGGGAGCAAACGGG
Molecule: ribosomal RNA, 253 nt
Filed under: uncultured bacterium
Lineage: Bacteria
Description: partial 16S ribosomal RNA
Rfam family: Bacterial small subunit ribosomal RNA
Source: RNAcentral